Long non-coding RNA from Lycium barbarum (goji berry), 567 nucleotides. RefSeq lists it as uncharacterized. The record is from RefSeq and is a predicted model, not a curated record. Lineage: Eukaryota; Viridiplantae; Streptophyta; Magnoliopsida; Solanales; Solanaceae. The transcript has 4 exons.
AUUUUCUCAGUUGAAGGGUUUUUAAACCCUAGCGCCGCCUUAAGGCGACUUUCUCUCUCCCAUGUGGUUCACUAUUUUUGGCAAACUUUCAGAGUGCCACAGGCAUGACACAGUCGUGGUGUGUGCUUUUUGAGGAAAAUCAUUUAAUGCUUCUUCCUCUUUCAUCAAAAAUCAAGCCAAACGAGGAGAAAAGGGUCUUCUAAAGUUCAAUCUAUUCUAGGCUGCACCAUAAAAAGAUUUUGGGCGAAACGGGAAUUGAAUUUGGAAAGGCGUAAAGAGCAUAUAAGGUACAGACUACAGAUAUGCUGAUCCGCAUGUUUAGGACUAUAUUCUGCCAUCUUGGAGUGCUCUAUUGUUCGGAGCCUAUGUUUGGUACAGUCCUUGCUAUGGUACAUUUGUAUGUUGUUCAGGGGUAUGACGGGGCCCUGUCCCGUCUUAUGAUUCUGAUGUGUUCUGUAGAGGUCUGUAGACAUACAUGUGGGUUCUGCAUAUGAUUUGGGUUGGUAUGAUCUGUGACAGCCUGAUCGGCUUCCUUGUGCUUUAUCCGUUAAUCUGUGAUAAUUAAUA